UAACACAUGCAAGUCGAACGGUAGCACAGAGGAGCUUGCUCCUUGGGUGACGAGUGGCGGACGGGUGAGUAAUGUCUGGGAAACUGCCCGAUGGAGGGGGAUAACUACUGGAAACGGUAGCUAAUACCGCAUAACGUCGCAAGACCAAAGAGGGGGACCUUCGGGCCUCUUGCCAUCGGAUGUGCCCAGAUGGGAUUAGCUAGUAGGUGGGGUAACGGCUCACCUAGGCGACGAUCCCUAGCUGGUCUGAGAGGAUGACCAGCCACACUGGAACUGAGACACGGUCCAGACUCCUACGGGAGGCAGCAGUGGGGAAUAUUGCACAAUGGGCGCAAGCCUGAUGCAGCCAUGCCGCGUGUAUGAAGAAGGCCUUCGGGUUGUAAAGUACUUUCAGCGAGGAGGAAGGCGUUGUGGUUAAUAACCGCAGCGAUUGACGUUACUCGCAGAAGAAGCACCGGCUAACUCCGUGCCAGCAGCCGCGGUAAUACGGAGGGUGCAAGCGUUAAUCGGAAUUACUGGGCGUAAAGCGCACGCAGGCGGUCUGUCAAGUCGGAUGUGAAAUCCCCGGGCUCAACCUGGGAACUGCAUCCGAAACUGGCAGGCUAGAGUCUUGUAGAGGGGGUAGAUUCCAGGUGUAGCGGUGAAAUGCGUAGAGAUCUGGAGGAAUAC
RNAcentral lists this ribosomal RNA (669 nucleotides) under uncultured Pseudomonadota bacterium. RNAcentral's name for it is "bacterial SSU rRNA". It matches the Rfam family "Bacterial small subunit ribosomal RNA", at positions 49 to 709 of the family's 1533-position model. Lineage: Bacteria; Pseudomonadati; Pseudomonadota. The record is from RNAcentral.